RNAcentral lists this ribosomal RNA (492 nucleotides) under uncultured bacterium. RNAcentral describes it as "partial 16S ribosomal RNA". It matches the Rfam family "Bacterial small subunit ribosomal RNA", at positions 29 to 507 of the family's 1533-position model. The record is from RNAcentral.
AGUGAACGCUGGCGGUAGGCCUAACACAUGCAAGUCGAACGGCAGCACAGUAAGAGCUUGCUCUUACGGGUGGCGAGUGGCGGACGGGUGAGGAAUACAUCGGAAUCUACUUUUUCGUGGGGGAUAACGUAGGGAAACUUACGCUAAUACCGCAUACGACCUACGGGUGAAAGCAGGGAAUCUUCGGACCUUGCGCGAUUGAAUGAGCCGAUGUCGGAUUAGCUAGUUGGCGGGGUAAAGGCCCACCAAGGCGACGAUCCGUAGCUGGUCUGAGAGGAUGAUCAGCCACACUGGAACUGAGACACGGUCCAGACUCCUACGGGAGGCAGCAGUGGGGAAUAUUGGACAAUGGGCGCAAGCCUGAUCCAGCCAUACCGCGUGGGUGAAGAAGGCCUUCGGGUUGUAAAGCCCUUUUGUUGGGAAAGAAAAGCAGCAGGUUAAUACCCCGCUGUUCUGACGGUACCCAAAGAAUAAGCACCGGCUAACCUCGUG